RNAcentral lists this small RNA (83 nucleotides) under Marmota monax (woodchuck). The record is from RNAcentral. Lineage: Eukaryota; Metazoa; Chordata; Mammalia; Rodentia; Sciuridae.
GUCAGGCAUGGUGGCUCAUGCCUGUAAUCCCAGUGGCUCCGGAGGCUGAGGUAAGAGGAUGGAGAGUUCAAACCUAGCCUCAG